UACGGGGGGGGCGAGCGUUAAUCGGAAUUACUGGGCGUAAAGCGCGCGUAGGCGGCUUUGCAAGUCGGGUGUGAAAUCCCCAGGCUUAACCUGGGAACUGCAUUCGAGACUGCAUUGCUAGAGUAUGGGAGAGGGAAGUGGAAUUUCCGGUGUAGCGGUGAAAUGCGUAGAUAUCGGAAGGAACAUCAGUGGCGAAAGCGACUUCCUGGACCAAUACUGACGCUCAUGUGCGAAAGCGUGGGGAGCAAACAGG
This 253-nucleotide ribosomal RNA is filed under the name uncultured bacterium. RNAcentral's name for it is "partial 16S ribosomal RNA". It matches the Rfam family "Bacterial small subunit ribosomal RNA", at positions 524 to 776 of the family's 1533-position model. The record is from RNAcentral.